Molecule: ribosomal RNA, 398 nt
Filed under: uncultured bacterium
Lineage: Bacteria
Description: partial 16S ribosomal RNA
Rfam family: Bacterial small subunit ribosomal RNA
Source: RNAcentral
AAUAUUGCACAUUGGGCUAAAGCCUGAGGCAGCCACGCCGCGUGAUCUAUGAAGUCCUUCGUGUCGUAAAGCUCUGUCCUAAGUGUCGAUAAUGACUGUACCUUAGGCGGAAGUCCCGUCUAACUACGUUCCAGCAUACGCGGUAAUACGUAGGGGGCAAGCGUUAUCCGGAAUCAUUGGGCGUAAAGGGUUCGUCAGCGUCCCUAUAGGUCAGAGGUCAAAGGCUACGGCUCAACCGUAGUAAGCCUUUGAAACUGUAGGGCUUGAGAGCAGGAGAGGAGAGUGGAAUUCCUAGUGUAGCGGUGAAAUGCGUAGAUAUUAGGAGGAACACCAGUGACGAAGGCGACUCUCUGGACUGCAACUGACGCUGAGGCACGAAAGCGUGGGGAGCGAACAGG